Molecule: long non-coding RNA, 4876 nt
Filed under: Homo sapiens (human)
Lineage: Eukaryota; Metazoa; Chordata; Mammalia; Primates; Hominidae
Description: HSALNT0321086
Source: RNAcentral
UAAGUUGUGCGUUCCAGGGUGCACUCGCCGGCGAGGCUGCACGGCGCCGGUUUCAUUGCUAAAAUCCGACGGACUUGUUGCAGAACUCGUUUUUUUUGUCGGGAAAGGGCUUCCCCGUGUAACUUUACAGCAGUUAUCGUAGAUAAGACUUGCAAAUUACAGAUGUGGACGGUGAGGGAACGGGAAUUUCACUGAAAGCGCCUGAGAACCAGUAAGAGACCUGCAACAGCUUUGUGCUCCACUGGCGAAUGCUUCCUCCCCUAAUACACAUUAUGUGUGCUUGGAGACACAAGGAGUAAGAUACAGCCCCUCAAGGGACUCGUCAUAGGGAGAGGACACAGCUUUGGGAAUAAAGGGGCCACAAAGGAGGAGAGAGGAGUUUGCUGAAACUUCCCAAGCUCCCAUUCCAGCAGUUCCUGAAGGAUUCAUUUCUCUCUGAGGAUCUCAUGAGGUGGCUUAGCAGCUAGAAUCUCUUCCUUAACAGUGGGAAGAACAACUCCUGGAAAUUUAGGUCGACUUUGACUGGAUUUAAAAGAAAGCUGUACAAUUCCACUUCUGUAUAUACAACCAAAGGAAAUGAGAUGUGCAUACCCAUGUUCAAUGAAGCAUUAUUCACAAUAGCCAAAAUGUGGAACCAAUCCUUAAACAAAAGGAAAACAGAAAAUCUGCUCAAGUCCCUGCAGGCACCUGAGAAAAUCACAACCCACACUUGCGAACCCCUAGGAGACCUAAAGCUGUGGUUUUACAAAUAAACAGAUAAGUAACAUUCCUACUCUUUCCUAUAGGUACUCAAUCUUCUUAACAACUCCCAUCCCACACAGGUUUGCAUCCCCAGCAGAUACAUAUGGCUAUGUGGUCACCCAUUCGAUCAGCCUAUAAAAGACUUGUCUUAUUUGAUAUUGUGAAACCCAUGGUUAUCAGUGUAUAUGAAAAUGUUUGGUUCAGGGGUCAAUGUACAAUAUGACAAGCAAAGUCCUCUAAUACACAGUUAUAUAAAAUCACUCACCUGAGAGCCAAGUGGACAAUUGGCCUUAUAUUGGCUGGAGUUGGAGCCCCAGAGGGAAAAUUUGCCUAUUAUUAGGCAACUCUUCAAAACUUUACUUAUUCGUUUCUAAACACUGUCUCAUAAAAUGGGGGAUGCUUUAGAUGAAUUAAGAUUAGCACUAGAUUACUUAUUCGUUGAAAAUUAGCACUAGAUUUCUUAUUGGUUGAACAAGGAGGAGUGUGCACCAUAAUCAAUAUAACCUGCUGCAGUUAUGUAAACACCUCAGGUCACAUAGAAGAAGAUAUACAGAAAAUACAUGAACAAGCUGUGUGGUUGCGUAAAUAUAACCAAGGCACCAAUCCCAACUGUAUCUGGUCAGCCAUUAGAAGCACCCUCCUGAGUCUCACUUGGUUGUUGCCCUUCCUAGGAACUUUGAUAGUUGUCUUAUUAUUAAUCUUUGGCCCUUGCUUGUUUAAAUUCUUGGUAAAGUUUGUGUUUUUUAGAUUACAACAAUUCCACAUAAAGAUGAUACUGACACAAAGCUUCCAAUCCAUCCCGUCUUCUGAACCGGGAAAUAAAGACACCCUGCCUUUAGGUGUCUUUAGAUCUAGAUCAGGCAUCUAGAGAUUUUUACUCCUCCAAUACUUGGCAGGGUCUAUGCCCGUAGACUCAUCAGGAUACCAUGUAAAUGAGGACCUCCCUUGGUACCCCAGAGGCCAACUGUAGACCCUUAUGAGAAAAUCCUGUCCCCAAAAUGAACAUCCACUGUCAGCAGGAAGAAGUUACAGAAGACCAGCCUUUGCCCUUACGAUUAAGGGUCCUCUUGUAAGUAGAGAGGGGAAUGUUAGGAAAGCAGGAGCCUAGGUGAUCCAGAGUGACACCAUUUUAAAAUAAACUCCACCUGAAAACUAGCAAGGCAUCUGCACACAUCUGUUUAGCAAGUAUAUACUUCUGUAACUGGAAUAAAAAGCGUUAUUUUAGAAUAUGCCUAUAGUUUGUAAUAAUUAGCCGAGGGAAAAAAAGUUCACAUUGGUGUAGGAAAAGUGCCCUAAUGGUCAUGGGUAAUAAUGGGACCGUGGUUCUGGUCAGUGAUUUGAUGGAAGGGGUGUAGAUAAUAUAUUGUUGUAAAUAAUAAAAAUAAAAAAUUGUUGUAAGUAAUAAAAAUAAAAUAAUAUUGUUGUAAGUAAUAAAGUAGGAGAAAUAUUUGGUCUUUUGCUUUUGGGUUAGUGCAACAGUAGUACCAUUACUUGGAGGAGAAGUUAGAGAAGGACAAGAAUAGGCUUGAAUAAGAUGAGUGAGAAGAGAGAAAAAUUCCGUAAGUGGAGAUGGCCAGGGAACACCAGGGCAGCAGAAUCUAACUCUGAAUUUAAUGCUGUUGUCUGUUCAUAUUGCACUGCGCUGUAAUCUCCCUAUCUUUCCUAAACCAUUGGCAAAGUCUGCUAUCCACUGGGGCCUUGGGUCGGUGGUGCUUUGGGAAAUACCAGAAGAGGGAAAGUACGGCAAAUGUGCAGUGUCACAGAUGAUAGGAGGAAAGCUGGCCAGUGGGAUGAUUAAAACAAUUUCGGUGGGAGUGGGAAUUCAGACCAUGUAAAUGGUCUGAAUUAAGAAAAUUUCAAGAAACAAAAAAUGUUUCUAAUGAGCCAAAGUGAAAGCUCUUCAUGAUUUCUUUAUAGAGGCUCUCUAGUGCUUGUCCUAAUUUCCUGAAAUCUCAUGGGUAUCUUACUCUCCUGGUGCCCGCCUCAAACAUUCACUGUAGCAAUUAUAUGAGCAGCCUAGAGAAUCCCAAUCCCAGUGGUCUUGCUCCCUGGAUCUACUUUCUCUUAAAAAUCAUUCCCCUAAGUUUCCGUCACUUGGUUGAAGUUUAGUAGAUAUCUCCACAUCUCCAGCUAGAACAGCACCAGAAUUUCAGGACUAGGGCAAUAGAGUCUGAUAUUAAAUUCUAUUUCUAUCUAUCUAUCUAUCAUCUAUCUAUCUAUCUAUCUAUCUAUCUAUCUAUCUAUCUAUCUAUCUACAGAACAAUUUGUGGGAUAGUAGCUUUGGGGUCCCAGAUCUAGGAUGGGCCUGGUCCUCCAUGCUGGUUCUCCUGGGUGAUAUUUCUGUUAGUUUGAACAGUAAUCACACUUUUAUUACUGUUUCAUCUUUUUUUUUUCACUCUUAGACUGAUUUUAUCAUGUGUAUAAAACAUACACACACCUACAUCUCAAGGAUAAACAUUAAUCCUUGAAAAAUAUGUGGUCUAAAACUAUAUUGAGGAGAGAAAGAUAGGACACUUUAAUUGCCACAUGAUUAACACGAGGUCACCACACAGCUUUCACAAAUCUACAAGUCAUUCUAUUUAGGCUGAGUCAAGUUCUCCCUUGGGCCAGCCAGAGCACAAAUAAUGGAGCAAUGUGACUCUUCAAUGACAGAUCUCUGAUUUCCAGAAAAGAGACUUUGAAAUACCCAAUUCUAGUAAAUAUGCAAUUAAAUUUCCAGCUAAAUGACCUUUGCUCCUGUAGUCUUCAUCUUGGGGAAGGGAAAGAAGUCUUAUUCUGUUUAAUAGUUUGAUUUUUAUAAUAGGGUUUGUCUCUGUUAUAAAUCUUGUUUGAUAUUUAAAAUGUUAGCUAAGAGAAAACUUCUGUUUGUUUUUAUUUAGUGGGAAGAAACUAACCCUCAUUGAGUGCCUAGUUAACAUCAGGCACUUUGUACACAUAAUCAAUUGAAUCUUGACCACAACCCUGUGAGGUGAAAAAUGAGAAGAUUAAAUAAGCCAUGGGAAGAUUUUUUAAAAUGACAUGAAACUCCAAGGGUAAAAAGUAGGCUGGGAAAUCUUAGGAUGGUGAACCAUCAUGUUUCCUGAAUGUGAAUCCUGUACCUGGUUUGACUGUAGUCACCCCUUCUCCAACACUCUCCACGAUGCCGGCUGCCUCAUGGCCUAAAAUCACAGGAAGUGGGGUCACCAUGGUACCACUAACCACGUGGUCAUCUGUGCCACAGAUUCCUACAGCCACCAUCUACAGAGUGAAGAGAAGAUGUUUAUAAAAGAUUGUGAGUCUCAGGAUGUUCAACAUGAUCAAUGCCAAAUAAAUAUCAGAAUACUUGGAAGUAAAGUACUAAUAGUAGGAGUUCCUGAUUAUCAGGUGCCUAUGAUGUGACAGGCACAUUGUGGCCUGUGCUCGACCAGGAGACUGGUGAGUCCUUGUGGAUUUCUUCCCUGCUCAAGUGCAUAAAGCAGGUGUAUUGCAUAGCUUUUCCAGGCUGAGAUCAAAGACGGAGAUGUGCCUACCCGCAGAUCCUAGAUGGCCAUGUUUGCAACAGAGGUAAUGAUGAGCAGUGCGAAGAUGUGACUCCAAAGCCUGGAGAAGGACAGACCAGCAUCCCUGCAAGAGAUCCAACUGUCUUCUUUUCCGCAGAGGUCCAUAAUUUACAUGGGCCUGACAAAGAAUACUGUAACUUGCAGAAAUUAUCUUCAGUUCAAAUCCUUCAUUUUGGGGGUUAAAUAACUUGCCCAAGAUGUCGAGGGAGCGGAAAUACUUGCUGGUCUUGCAGCGGCUGUGGAGCCUGGAAUCCUGCCAAGAAGAGCAUGUGUGAGAGAUCAAAAUGUUUGCUUACAUUCCUCCUGUGAAGGGAGUUGGGAAAUAACCUAAGAAGCCCAAUCCAAAAACAAAGAUGUACCAUCCAGUCUUCUCUGUGAGAACCAAACUACAAACCAUCUGAAUGUUCCAAAAGUGUUUUGAUGAUGUAUUGAUGUAUUUUAAAUUAUCCUGAAAAUGUUCUUGGCAGAUGCUUAAACAUGUAAUUACUGAGAUGAUGUAGAAAUACCAAGUGUUUAUUAAAACAAUACAGAGUAAUACAAAUGGUAUGUUUGUCGCAAUAUAAAAGUAUCUAAAAAUUAAAGAGUUCUUUAAUGGU